Molecule: transfer RNA, 25 nt
Filed under: Tachigali vulgaris
Lineage: Eukaryota; Viridiplantae; Streptophyta; Magnoliopsida; Fabales; Fabaceae
Description: partial tRNA-His
Source: RNAcentral
CGGAUGUAGCCAAGUGGAUCAGGGC